RNAcentral lists this ribosomal RNA (496 nucleotides) under uncultured bacterium. Its description in RNAcentral is "bacterial SSU rRNA". It matches the Rfam family "Bacterial small subunit ribosomal RNA", at positions 28 to 524 of the family's 1533-position model. The record is from RNAcentral.
GAUGAACGCUAGCGGCAGGCUUAACACAUGCAAGUCGAGGGGUAGCAGGUCUUCGGACGCUGACGACCGGCAAACGGGUGCGGAACACGUACGCAACAUACCCUUUACAGGGGGAUAGCCCGGAGAAAUCCGGAUUAACACCCCAUAGUAUAUUUGAGAGGCAUCUCUCGAUUAUUAAAAUUUAUUGGUAAAGGAUUGGCGUGCGUCCCAUUAGAUAGUUGGCGGGGUAAUGGCCCACCAAGUCAGCGAUGGGUAGCUGGUGUGAGAGCACGACCAGCCACACGGGCACUGAGACACGGGCCCGACUCCUACGGGAGGCAGCAGUGAGGAAUAUUGGUCAAUGGACGCAAGUCUGAACCAGCCAUGCCGCGUGGAGGAUGACAGCCUUCUGGGUUGUAAACUUCUUUUAUAUGGGAAGAAAAGUACGGUUUCUACUGUAUCCGACGGUACCAUAUGAAUAAGCACCGGCUAACUCCGUGCCAGCCGCCGCGGUAAC